UUUUUUUUAAAUGUGUGGUUUUGAAAAAAAAACUGUUCGGAAUUUGGAAAAUUAUUCAUGGUUCCAAGUAUAUUUUGCAAUUCAUAGUUAUGAUUUUUUUUGAAAAGUAUAAAAAAUGAAAAAAAUUGUUUUGAAUCUGACAUUGCAGUAUAUCCUUAAAUAUUCAUGCUAAAUAUUGAUUAGCAGGACGGGUUUGUUUGAGUGGCUACUAACAUGUGGGACUGCUCAUAUUGGGCCUUUGAAGUCGUGAGUUCGAUCACUCCCAUAUUGGGCCUGCUCCGCAUCGGGCAUAUUGAGCUAAGUCGGCUUGUUCAGAAUAAGGGACACCAUAAAUUAUUGAUGGUUGACUAAAAAAUAAAAUAAAUUAUUAACGGUGGUAGAUUCCAUAUGCAAAUAAAAGAGAAUAUGCAGGUUAAUUAUAAUUGAAGGAAAUUGUGGGCACAUAUCAAUAAAAGAGAAUAUAACGGGUUGGCUCUAAUUAAAGGGUAUCGUGUUGAACUAGAGAAUACGGACAUGUGGGGUCUUGAUCCAUUCUUAUAUUGAGUCAGAUGCAUGUAGUUUUAUUAUCCCGUUGCAACGCACGGGCAUGUGUGCUAGUAGAACUGCCUAUAAGAACCCUAUGGGUAUGUCUCCAUAUAAAAUAGUUUAUGGAAAAGCAUGUCACUUACCUUUUAAACUAGAACAUAAGGCAUAUUGGGCUAUUAAAGAGCUCAAUUAUGAUUUCAAACUUGCCGGUGAGAAGAGGUUAUUUGACAUUAGCUCGCUUGAUGAAUGGAGAACCCAAGCCUAUGAGAAUGCCAAGUUGUUUAAAGAAAAGGUUAAAAGAUGGCAUGACAAGAGGAUACAAAAGCGUGAGUUUAAUGUAGGUGAUCAUGUUUUGCUAUACAACUCUCGUUUAAGAUUUUUUGCAGGAAAGCUUCUCUCUAAAUGGGAAGGUCCUUACAUUAUCCAGGAGGUCUAUCAUUCCGGUGCCAUCAAAAUCAACAAUGCUGAAGGCACAAAUCUGAAGGUGGUGAACUGUCAAAGAAUCAAACAUUAUAUCUUGGUACUCCCAUGAAUGUUGAGACCAAUAUAAUUGACAUCGUAACACCGCAGCAGUACAUAAAGGACACUUUUCAGAACAUUUCAGACUCCGAAAAGGAAUAGGUAUGUGGUACGGUAAGUAAAACGACUCCAAAACGUUUCAAUAGCAAUUUUUCUUUGUUUUGGAAUAUUUAAAAAAUUAGGAAAAUUAAAAGUAGUCCGAAAGAGAGACGAGGCGAUCAUAAGGGUGCAGGGCGCACCCUACCCCCUGGGCGCACCCCGCAACCUUGUGGCCACCUCGUGUGCCCCCCGAACUUUGUUUUCUUGCACAAUACUUCUGUUGGUCGGUAAAAAUUCAUUAUAUAAUCUCCCGAAGGUUUUGACCACCGUGCCAUGGCAAAAUCCCUUGUUUUCGUUUUGAGUUGUUUUCUGCCAUAGUUUCCAAGGCCAGGCAUUAUGUCAUCCUCCUCCUCCAACAAUGCGGACGGCGAUGCUUGGUUGAUGCAGACGGAACUUAGAAGGGAGGAUGCCGAGGGAGCCACGAUGGAGGAGGAUGAAUGAGAUUUGCUUGAGGAACAACCUCCAGUAACGGAGAGGGGUACUCUGGCAGGCAUCUCCGCUAUUCCAAGUCCCCAGCAAGCAAUAGGAACCGCAAACAACCAUGAAGACCAAGAGGUUCGAGAAGGGCUUCCCCCUAGGAGGCCCUUACACAGGGAAGAGUUCUUGGGGGCCUAAAAAUAAGCAUCUUAUGGAGGAAAUUCAAAAGAAUGCAAAUAUGCUCCAACGUGUGCUCCAAGAACUGCAAGUUCUGAAAGGUGCAUUAAUGAAGCUAACGGAUUCAUCAACAACUCCAUCACCACUACCUCCAAAGAAAGAGACAUAAAUACAAGGGUAUGGGCACUCCCCUUGGCAACUGCCAAGCUUGGGGGAGGUGCCCCCGUAUCCUAUCACCAUCACACCUUUAUCUUUAUCGUUUUUCUUAGUUUGAUCCUUUUGGUUAUAUCUUGAUCUAGUAGAAUAAAGUUUUAAUAUGAUCUAGCUUUGAGUUUUGUUUCGAUCUCUAUCUAUGUAAUCGAGUCCGUGAGUUAUAUAUAACAAAGAGUAGUUUGAGUUGAGGGCUUUGCUUUCUUGCUAUGAUCUUGAGGGAAUUGAAUAAAAGAAAGAAUAAAAAUAAAUAAAAAGAUCAUAUAUUGAUCUUAUGGAGAGUAAUGGCUUCACAUAUAAAGAGUAUGAUGAAUAAAAGUUGUUGAUAGUUGACAAACAUAGUUUUGGUCAUUGUUGCAAUUAAUAGGAAGUAAUAAAGAAAGAGAGGCUUCACAUAUAAAUAUACUAUCUUGGACAUCUUUUGUUGAUGUUGGACAAGGAAGACAAUAUAAUGGGUUAUGUUUUCUUAUAUCCGAAUAGAAGUUAUAUUGUCAUAGAUCAUCCAACAUGUUGAGCUUGCCUUUCCCUCUCAUGCUAGCCAAAUUCUUUGCACCAAGUAGAGAUACUACUUGGGCUUCCAAACAUCCCUUAAACCAGUUUUUCCAUGAGAGUCCACCAUACCUACCUAUGGAUUGAGUAAGAUCCUUCAAGUAAGUUGUCAUUGGUGCAAACAAUAAAAAUUGCUCUCUAAAUAUGCAUGAUCUAUUAGUGUGAAGAAAAUAAUCUUUAUACGGACUUGUGAUAUGGAAGAAAUAAAAGCGACGGACUGCAUAAUAAAGGUCUUUAUCACAAGCGGCAAUAUAAAGUGACGUUCUUUUGCAUUAAGAUUUUGUGCAUCCAACCAUAAAAGUGCAUGACAACCUCUGCUUCCCUCUGCAAAGGGCCUAUCUUUUACUUAUAUCUCCUACCCUUAUACAAGGGUCAUGGUGAUCAUCACCUUUCCUUUUUACACUUUUUCCUUUGGCAAGCACUAUGUGUUGGAGAGAUCCGGAUAUAUAUAUAUAUCCACUCGGAUGUAGAUUUUCAUAAAGUAUUAUUGUUGACAUUACCCUUGAGGUAAAAGGUUGGGAGGCGAAACUAUAAGCCCCUAUCUUUCUCUGUGUCCGAUUGAAGCUUUGAACCCAUAAAUAUCAUGUGAGUGUUAGCAAUUGUGAAAGAUUAAAUGAUAGUCGAGUAUGUGGACUUGCUGAAAAGCUCUUAUAUUGACUCUUUCUGAUGUUAUGAUAAAUUGCAAUUGCUUCAAUGACUGAGAUUUAGUUGUUAGUUUUCAAUGAAGUUUCUGAUUCAUACUUUACUUUGUGAACGAAUUGUUAGUUUAGCAUAAGAAAUUAUAUGGCAUUAUAUGUUGCUAUUCUAAAGAUGAUCAUGAUGCCCUCAUGUUUGUAUUUUAUUUUAUCGACACCUCUAUCUCUAAACAUGUGGACAUAUUUUUUGAUUUCGGCUUUCGCUUGAGGACAAGCGAGGUCUAAGCUUGGGGGAGUUGAUAUGUCCAUUUGCAUCAUGCUUUUAUAUUGAUAUUUAUUGCAUUAUAGGCUGUUAUUACACAUUAUAUCACAAUACUUAUGCAUUUUCUCUCUUAUUUUAUAAGGUUUACAUGAAGAGGGAGAAUGCCGGCAGCUGGAAUUCUCGACUGGAAAAGGAGCAAAUAUUAGAGACCUAUUAUGCACAGCUCCAAAAGUCCCGAAACUUCCCGGAGAAUAUUUUUGGAAUAUAUAAAAAAUAUAGGGCGAAGAAAGUACCAGAGGGGGGCCACCUUCCAUCCACAAGGGUGGAGGGCGCGCCCUACCCCCUGGGGGCGCCCCCCCAUCCUGGUGGGCCCCCUGGCAGGCCCCCGACGCCCAUCUUCUGCUAUAUGGUGUGUUUUGACCUGGAAAAAAUCAGAAGGAAGCUUUCGGGACGAAGCGCCGCUGUUUUGAGGCGGAACCUGGGUAGAACCAAUCUAGGGCUCCGGCGGAGCUGUUCUGCCGGGGAAACAUCCCUCUGGGAGGGGGAAAUCAUCGCCAUCGUCAUCACCAACGAUCCUCUCAUCGAGAGGGGGUCAAUCUCCAUCAACAUCUUCACCAGCACCAUCUCCUCUCAAACCCUAGUUCAUCUCUUGUAUCUGAUCUUUGUCUCAAAACCUCAGAUUGGUACCUGUGGGUUGCUAGUAGUGUUGAUUACUCCUUGUAGUUGAUGCUAGUUGGUUUAUUCGGUGGAAGAUCAUAUGUUCAGAUCCUUAAUGAUAAUUAAUACUCCUCUGAUUAUGAACAUGAAUAUGCUUUGUGAGUAGUUACGUUUGUUCCUGAGGACAUGGGAGAGGUCUUAUUAUAAGUAAUCAUGUGAAUUUGGUAUUCGUUCGAUAUUUUGAUGAGAUGUAUGUUGUCUUUCCUCUAGUGGUGUGAUGUGAACAUCGACUACAUGACACUUCACCAUUAUUUGGGCCUAGGGGAAGGCAUUGGGAAGUAAUAAGUAUAUGAUGGGUUACUAGAGUGACAGAAGCUUAAACCCUAGUUCAUGCGUUGCUUUGUAAGGGGCUGAUUUGGAUCCAUAUGUUUCAUGCUAUGGUUACAUUUAUCUUAAUUCUCCUUUCGUAGUUGCGGAUGCUUGCGAGAGGGGUUAAUCAUAAGUGGGGGGCUUGUCCAAGGAAGGGCAACACCCAAGCACCGGUCCACCCACAUAUCAAAUUAUCAAAGUAACGAACGUGAAUCAUAUGAGCAUGAUGAAAACUAACUUGACAACAAUUCCAUGUGUCCUCGGGAGCGCUUUGCUUUAUAUAAGAGUUCAUCCAGGCUUGUCCUUUGCUACAAAAAGGAUUGGGCCACCUUGCUGCACCUUAGUUACUUUUAUUACUUGUUACCCGUUACAAUUUAUCUUAUCACAAAACUAUCGGUUACCGAUAAUUUCAGUGCUUGCAGAGAAUACCUUGCUGAAAACCGCUUGUCAUUUCCUUCUGCUCCUCGUUGGGUCGACACUCUUACUUAUCGACAAGACUACGAUAGAUCCCCUAUACUUGUGGGUCAUCAGGCGCCUUCUCGUUUUCCUCGUCGAGGAGGUUGAUGACAGAGGCGAUGCUUUAGUGGGUUGGCAUGCUUGGAAAAGGUGGAUGUGCUACAGGCUACGCUUGUCGCCUCAGUGCAUCGUGCGCCGCCUAGGUUUAUAUGCGCAAUAUCGCUGGGUGGCAGCGGGAAACCAGUGAGGAAAUGGCGGAAAACGAUGGCGUGUUCAUAAAACGCCAUCAGUUAAUGGAAACUUAGCAUAGAAAGAACAUCAAGCUAGCACGACGCGUGUGGGCACAUUGCUCGUCCAAGGCUAUGAUCCAUAUACUUGUGUGCCCAACAGAGCAUACUAUUCACAGUAAAGAAUAUUGUUUCAUUUAUCCUAGUAGAGGAGUGGCGGCAAGAGUCACAAGAAGAAGUAGAGGAUGGUCAGAAGUCAUUUAUCCUAGUUAAUUAUGCAUGUAAUAGUUUACUUUGGUGUGUGUAAAUGUCAUGUGUGUACUAGCCACCUAUGUAAUUGGAUGUUUAAUUUGGUUGUGCAAUCAUGUCCUUAUUAGUAUAUAUGUUGUUGUUCUGUAUGCAAUCACAUCGCACACAGAACAUACUAGGGAAACCGUCAGUGAUGAAUUCAUCAGUCGUUGAUAAUUGUAUACCAGAAAGUGUUUGCCCACAACACACACAGCUUAUUAGCAGCAAUCGUCUGUGUUAUUAUCGGUCUUCACACACAUUUCUGAUUACAGACUUGUUUUCCACGUACCACACACAUCUUGUUAAGUUGAACCAUUUAUGUUCUCUUGGAUCAACGCAAACAGUUCAUCUGAGUGAACUGUUUGCCGUAUAGCGCACACACCUUUGAUCUGGCUGACCGUUUCUGUUGUGUUGCCUAAGCACAAACAGUUCAUCCGAGUGAACUGUAUCCCGUAUAUCGCACACACCUUCAUCUGGCCGCCCGUUUUUGUUGUUCCCUCAUCGCCAACAGUUCUGCUGGAUUAACCGUAUGCCAUGCAUCGCACACGCAACUCUAAUAUGAAUCGUGUUUGAUGUCUCCGCCAUCGCAAACAUUUUUUAUCUUUUUUUAUAGUUUUAUUACAUCACCAUUUGUGAUUAAUGCAUCACACACAGUUUCGUCGAAGGGUCUCUGAUUGAAUUGUCGCGUUUGGACCAACCCGCAGUAGUGAAUUAUAAGAGGUUGAAGCAUGUAGAUUGUUUUUGCAUCAACUCUUGCAUAUAAUUAGAUGCAUGAUUGAUAAAACCAGGGCUAGCCAAUACAUUAUGCUCAUUAAAUGACCUAGCAACAACAUAUGAAUUAUUUCUAUCUACAUAAAUGAAUUGGGUAUUCAUAUUAUCUUUGUAGAUUCCAAACCCUAGAUGAUGAUCUUUUCGUAGCAAGAACAAUUAUGAUGGAAUUUUUGAAGCUUCGUCCCCAGCGGAGUCAUCAAAAAGUGUGUUCGCAGAUGAGCAUGUCACCAUGUACCUCCGGCGUCAAGUGCGAUAUGCACGACAUGUCGCUAGAGGAGCCUCACUAGGAGCAUGAUACACAAGUGACGCUGACGAUAACUUUUGAGACCCGAACCACACACGCCAGGGAGGGACCCCGUUAGGGAGUGCAGUGGCUAUGGUCAGUGCUAGGUUAGCCCAACCACCCCUAGAGCCUCAAGGAUCACUGCCCUCCAACACGAAGAACGAGAAAGAAAGAACAAAGGAGAGAUGUAAAGGCAUGGUAAAAAGUAGUAGAUAUGUUUGUCGAUUGUGUGUUGUUCAAUCGACCAUGAUCUUGCAUCUAUUUACGUGGCAGUUGGACUUCCCGUAGAAAAAAAGGACUCCAAAAUGUGUCCAAAAGUCUAAAACCCUAGCCUAACUCAAACUGGACCUACACGCAUGCCUUUCGAUCCGUUCGGAGCCUCCAAGUGGUUUCGCUCCGAAUUUUGCGGUAUACGUGGCAAACCUUCUAGACCCCACUUGGAAAUUUCGGUUGUCUCAUUCGAAACUUCUGAGUGAAAUGGGUGCUCCAUGGCCAGGUUUCUGUACUCCAACCGGAGCAUCCGAGUCAAUUCAAUUAGAAACUUUUGAGCUAACUCUAUAGCUUCUGUCUGAUACGUCUCCAACGUAUCUAUAAUUUUUGAUUGUUCCAUGCUAUUAUAUUAUCCAUCUUGGAUGUUUUAUAUACAUUUUAUAUGUUGUUUUAUAUGAUUUUUGGGACUAACCUAUUAACCUAGAGCCCAGUGCCUGUUUCUAUUUUUUUCCUUGUUUUUGAGUUUUACAGAAAAGGAAUACCAAACGGAGUCCAAUUGACGUGCCAAUUUUUGAUGAUUUUUUAUGGACCAAAAGAAGCCCCCGGAGUAAAAGAGUUGGGCCAAAAGAGUCCCGAGCCAUCCACGAGGGUGGAGGGCGGCCCUACCCCCUAGGCUCGCCCCCCUAUCUCGUGGAUGACUCGGAGACNNNNNNNNNNNNNNNNNNNNNNNNNNNNNNNNNNNNNNNNNNNNNNNNNNNNNNNNNNNNNNNNNNNNNNNNNNNNNNNNNNNNNNNNNNNNNNNNNNNNNNNNNNNNNNNNNNNNNNNNNNNNNNNNNNNNNNNNNNNNNNNNNNNNNNNNNNNNNNNNNNNNNNNNNNNNNNNNNNNNNNNNNNNNNNNNNNNNNNNAAAUUCCUAUAAAUACAGAAACCCCCAGAACAUAACCUAGAUCGGCAGUUCCACCGCCGCAAGCCUCUGUAGCCACCAAAAACAAAUCGAGACCCUGUUCCGGCACCCUGCCGAAGGGGGGAACCAUCACUGGUGGCCAUCUUCAUCAUUCCGGCGAUCUCCAUGACGAGGAGGGAGUAGUUCACCCUCGGGGCUGAGGGUAUGUACCAGUAGCUAUGUGUUUGAUCUCUCUCUCUCUCGUGUUCUUGAUUUGGCACGAUCUUGAUGUAUCGCGAGCUUUGCUAUUAUAGUUGGAUCUUAUGAUGUUUCUCCCCCUCUACUCUCUUGUAAUGGAUUGAGUUUUCCCUUUGAAGUAAUCUUAUCGGAUUGAGUCUUUAAGGAUUUGAGAACACUUGAUGUAUGUCUUGCAUGUGCUUAUCUGUGGUGACAAUGGGAUAUUCACGUGAUCUACUUGAUGUAUGUUUUGGUGAUCAACUUGCGGGUUCAGUGACCUUGUGAACUUAUGCAUAGGGGUUGGCACACGUUUUCGUCUUGACUCUCCGGUAGAAACUUUGGGGCACUAUUUGAAGUUCUUUGUGUUGGUUGAAUAGAUGAAUCUGAGAUUGUGUGAUGCAUAUCGUAUAAUCAUACCCUCGGAUACUUGAGGUGACAUUGGAGUAUCUAGGUGACAUUAGGGUUUUGGUUGAUUUGUGUCUUAAGGUGUUAUUCUAGUAUGAACUCUAGGAUAGAUCGAACGGAAAGAAUAGCUUCUUGUUAUUUUACUAUGGAUUCUUGAAUAGAUCGAUCAGAAAGGAUAACUUUGAGGUGGUUUCGUACCCUACAAUAAUCUCUUCGUUUGUUCUCCUCUAUUAGUGACUUUGGACUGACUCUUUGUUGCACGUUGAGGGAUAGUUAUAUGAUCCAGUUAUGUUAUUAUUGUUGAGAGAACUUGCACUAGUGAAAGUAUGAACCCUAGGCCUUGUUUCCUAGCAUUGCAGUACCGUUUACGCUCACUUUUACCACUUUCUACCUUGUUAUUUUUAUAAUUUCAGAUUACAAAAACCUAUAUUUACCAUCCAUAUUGCACUUGUAUCACCAUCUCUUCGCCAAACUAGUGCACUUAUACAAUUUAGCAUUGUAUUGGGUUUGUUGGGGACACAAGAGACUCUUUGUUAUUUGGUUGCAGGGUUGUUUGAGAGAGACCAUCUUCAUCCUACGCCUCCCACGGAUUGAUAAACCUUAGGUCAUCCACUUGAGGGAACUUUGCUACUAUCCUACAAACCUCUGCACUUGGAGGCCCAACAACGUCUACAAGAAGAAGGUUGUGUAGUAGACAUCAAGCUCUUUUCUGGCGCCGUUGCCGGGGAGGCUAGGUAAGCGGCACUAACACCUCGUCAACUAAGCUCUUUUCUGGCGCCGUUGCCGGGGAGGUUAGUGCUUGAAGGUAUAUCUUUAGAUCUUGCAAUUGAAUCUUUUUGUUUCUUGUUUUAUCACUAGUUUAGUCUAUAAAAGAAAACUACAAAACAAUGGAAUUGAGGGUGCCUCAUAUGCUUCAUCUUUUUAAUGUCUUUCGUGAAAAUGAUGGAAAGGAAAAUUGUGCUCAAGUGCUAGAAAAAGAAUGCAUUAGAAUGUUUGGCACUAAAUCUUUGUAUGAUGAGCAUGAUUGCAAUGUUGUUAGUAUGAAUUCCUUGAAUAUCCAUGAUGCUAAUGAUAUGCAAAGCCACAAGCUUGGGGAUGUUAUGAUUGAUGAAGAUGAUAUUUUUAGUCCCCCAAGUUUUGAUGAGCAAAUUUAUUAUGAUGAAAGCAUGCCUCCUAUUUAUGAUGAUUAUAUUGAUGAAAGUGGGUUUGGAAGAGUGUCAACUUUAGGAAGUAAUGAUCCCACUUUUUGGAGGAUGUUGAAUCUUAUUUUGAUAAUUAUAAAAGUGGAUUUGGAGAGGUCAUGACUAUAUUUAGUAAUGAUUCCACUAUCUUGGAAGAGGUUUCAAUUGAUUAUGAUGAGAACAAAGUUGCUACUUAUGAUGAUUAUUGUGAUGACACUUAUGUUAUAAAAAGUAGUGAUGAUUAUAUUUAUAAAAAUUGUCAUGAUUAUGAUUUCCCUUUUUCUGAACAUUAUUCUUUUAAUGUGGAAACAAUUUAUAGUAUUCGAGUUUCUUAUGAUACUCCCACUACUAUGAAUGUGAAGAAAUUCGCUUAUGUGGAGAGUAAUAAAUUUAUAUGCUCGUGCAUCAUGAAAAGAAUGCUUUAUGUGAUAGUUAUAUUGUUGAAUUUGACUCAUGAUGCUACUUAAAAUUAUUAUGAGGGAGGAAUAUAUGCUUGUAGAAGUUGCAAUAAUAUCAAGUUUCCUCUCUAUGUGCUUAAAAUCUUGAAGUUAUGCUUGUUUUGCUUUCCUAUGCUAGUUGAUCCUUGUUCCCAUAAAUUGUUUGCUCACAAAAUCCCUAUGCAUAGGAAAGUUAGACUUAAAUGUGCUAGUCAUAUUCUUCAUGAUGCUCUCUUUAUGUUUCAAUUCUUAUCUUUUACGUGAGCAUCAUUGAAAUCAUCAUGCCUAGCUAGGGGCGUUAAACGUUAGCGCUUGUUGGGAGGCAACCCAAUUUUAUUUUUGUUCUUUGCCUUUUGCUCCUGUUUAGUAAAAAAUAAUAUAUAUAGCCUCUGGUUAGAUGUGGUUUUAUGUUUUAAUUAGUGUUUGUGCCAAGUAGAACCUUUGGUAAGACUUGGGUGAAGUCUUUGCGAUCUUGCUGUAAAAACAGAAACUUUUGCGCUCACGAGAUUAGCUGUAAUUGUUUACUGGAGAGUGCUUUUAGGUUGAUUAUUUUUGCAGAUGAUUAAUAGACAAAUUCCUCACGUCCACCAAUUUAUUUCACAAUUUUUGGAGUUACAUAAGUAUUCGAAUGAUACAGAUUGCUACAAACUAUUCUGUUCUUGACAGAUUCUGUUUUCGAUGUGUUGUUUGCUUAUUUUGAUGAAUCUAUGAGUAGUAUCGGAGGGUAUGAACCAUAGAGAAGUUGUAAUGCAGUAUAUAUUACACCAAUAUGAAUUUAGAAUGAGUUCACAGUAGUACCUAAGUGGUGAUUUAUUUUCUUAUACUAACGGAGCUUACGAGUUUUCUGUUAAGUUUUGUGUUGUGAAGUUUUCAAGUUUUGGGUAAAGAUUCGAUGGACUGUGGAAUAAGGACUGGCAAGAGCCUAAGCUUGGGGAUGCCCAAGGCACCCCAAGGUAAUAUUAAGGACAACCAAGAGCCUAAUCUUGGGGAUGCCCCGGAUGGCAUCCCCUCUUUCGUCUUCGUUCAUCGGUAACCUUACUUGGAGCUAUAUUUUUAUUCACCACAUGAUAUGUGUUUUGCUUGGAGCGACAUUUUGUUUUAUUUUAUUUUGCUUGCUGUUUGAAUAAUAUCCCAAGAUCUAAAAUUCUUAAAUGUUAGAGAGUCUUCACAUAGUUACACAAUUAUUCGACUACUCAUUGAUCUUCACUUAUAUCUUUUGGAGUAGUUUGUCAUUUGCUCUAGUGCUUCACUUAUAUCUUUUUAAGAGCACGACGGUGGUUUUAUUUUGAAGAAAUAGAUGAACUCUCAUGCUUCAAUUAUAUUAUUUUGAGAGUCUUUUAGAACAGCAUGGUAAUUUUCUUUUGGUUAUGAAUUUAGUCCUAAUAUGAUAGGCAUCCAAGAAGGAUGUAAUAAAAACUUUCAUAUAAAGUGCAUUGAAUACUAUGAGAAGUUUGAUUCCUUAUGAUUGUUUUGAGAUAUGAAGAUGGUGAUAUUAGAGUCAUGCUAGUGAGUAGUUGUGAAUUUGAGAAAUACUUGUGUUGAGGUUUGUGAGUCCCGUAGCAUGCACGUAUGGUGAACCGUUAUGUAACGAAGUUGGAGCAUGAGAUAUUUUUUUAUUGUCUUCCUUAUGAGUGGCGGUCGGGGACGAGCGAUGGUCUUUUCCUACCAAUCUAUCCCCCUAGGAGCAUGCGCGUAGUACUUUGUUUCGAUGACUAAUAGAUUUUUGCAAUAAGUAUGUGAGUUCUUUAUGACUAAUGUUGAGUCCAUGGAUUAUACGCACUCUCACCCUUCCACCAUUGCUAGCCUCUCUUGUGCCGCGCAACUUUCGCCGGUACCAUACACCCACCAUAUACCUUCCUCAAAACAGCCACCAUACCUACCUAUUAUGGCAUUUCCACAGCCAUUCCGAGAUAUAUUGCCAUGCAACUUCCAUCGUUCCGUUUAUUAUGACACGCUCCAUCAUUGUCAUAUUGCUUUGCAUGAUCAAGUAGUUGACAUCGUAUUUGUGGCAAAGCCACCAUUCAUAUUUUUUUCAUACAUGUCACUCUUGAUUCGUUGCACAUCCCGGUACACCACCGGAGGCACUCAUAUAGAGUUAUAUUUUGUUCUAAGUAUCGAGUUGUAAUCCUUGAGUUGUAAAUAAAUAGAAGUGUGAUGAUCAUCAUUAUUAGAGCAUUGUCCCGUGUGAGGAAAAAAAGGGGAGGCCAAAGAAGCCAAUGAAAAAAAGAGAGAGGCCAAAGAAGCCAAACAAAAAAAGAGAGAAGGGACAAUGCUACUAUCCUUUUUCCACACUUGUGCUUCAAAGUAGCACCAUGAUCCUCAUGAUAGAGAGUCUCUUAUUUUGUCACUUUCAUAUACUAGUGGGAGUUUUCAUUAUAGAACUUGGCUUGUAUAUUCCAACGAUGGGCUUCCUCAAAUGCCCUAGGUCUUCAUGAGCAAGCAAGUUGGAUGCACACCCACUUAGUUUCUUUUGUUGAGCUUUCAUACAUUUAUAGCUCUAGUGCAUCCGUUGCAUGGCAAUCCCUACUCACUCACAUUGAUAUCUAUUGAUGGGCAUCUCCAUAGCCCGUUGAUACGCCUAGUUGAUGUGAGACUAUUUUCCUUUUUGUUGUCUUCUCCGCAACCACCAUUCUAUUGCACCCAUAGUGCUAUGUCCAUGGCUCAUGCUCAUGUAUUGCGUGAAGAUUUAAAAAGUUUGAGAACAUCAAAAGUAUGAAACAAUUGCUUGGCUUGUCAUCGGGGUUGUGCAUGAUUUGAAUAUUCUGUGUGAUGAAGAUCGAGCAUAGACAGACUAUAUGAAUUUGUAGGGAUAAGCUUUCUUUGGCAAUGUUAUUUUGAGAAGACAUGAUUACUUUGUUAGUAUGCUUGAAGUAUUAUUAUUUUUAUGUCAAUAUUAAACUUUUGUCUUGAAUCUUUUGGAUCUGAAUAUUCUUGCCACAAUAAAGAAGAUUACAUUGAUAAAUAUGUUAGGUAGCAUUCCACAUCAAAAAUUCUGUUUUUAUCAUUUACCUACUCGAGGACGAGCAGGAAUUAAGCUUGGGAUGCUUGAUACGUCUCCAACGUAUCUAUAAAUUUUGAUUGUUCCAUGCUAUUAUAUUAUCCAUCUUGGAUGUUUUAUAUGCAUUUAUAUGCUGUUUUAUAUGAUUUUUGGGACUAACCUAUUAACCUAGAGCCCAGUGCCAGUUUCCGUUUUUUUCCUUGUUUUUAAGUUUUAUAGAAAAGGAAUACCAAAUGGAGUCCAAUUGUCGUGCCAAUUUUUGAUGAUUUUUUAUGGACCAAAAGAAGCCCCCGGAGUAAAAGAGUUGGGCCACAAGAGUCCCGAGCCAUCCACGAGGGUGGAGGGCGCACCCUACCCCUUGGGCUCGCCCCCUAUCUCAUGGAUGACUCGGAGACCCCCUGACAUGAGACCGACGCCAAAAAUUCCUAUAAAUACAGAAACCCCCAGAACAUAACCUAGAUCGGGAGUUCCGCCGCCGCAAGCCUCUGUAGCCACCAAAAACCAAUCGGGGCCCUGUUUCGGCACCCUGCCGGAGGGGGGAACCAUCACCGGUGGCCAUCUUCAUCAUCCCGGCGAUCUCCAUGACGAGGAGGGAGUAGUUCACCCUCGGGGCUGAGGGUAUGUACCAGUAGCUAUGUGUUUGAUCUCUCUCUCUCUCUCUCGUGUUCUUGAUUUGGCACGAUCUUGAGGUUGUUUGAGAGAGACCAUCUUCAUCCUACGCCUCCCACGGUUUGAUAAACCUUAGGUCAUCCACUUGAGGGAAAUUUGCUACUGUCCUACAAACCUCUGCACUUGGAGGCCCAACAACGUCUACAAGAAGAAGGUUGUGUAGUAGACAUCACUGUCUCUCACCUUGUUGGGGCUCUAUAGGUUGCAUACAACAUCGAAUCAAGAUGGCCCGAUAAACAAAGUCAUUAGUUUCAAUGAUAUGAAGACUUCUCAAGUUGAAAUUCCAUUUAUUUGAGGUCAUGUUAAUUGAGUUUUCUGCCAUGCCAUAAUCUGAUGUCAACACGAGUAUCUCCGAAAUUGUCAUAACUUUCACAUCCGGGCUUCGUUUUGAUCCACCUCCAUAUCUAUUUCGAUCUUCUAGUAGAGGACCAUCCAAUAGUUUGACUUCAUAUAUAAAUUGAAGCCACUCUUUAAGAUCAUUCCACUUUUGAGCGUCAACAGCUUCGAUGCGCUAUCUGGUAGAGUGUAGCAUCCCAAAUUUUCAAUUUGGAAUGUUAUACAUAGGUCAUCAUAUGCAUAUCAUAUUUUAUUUGCAUUUCGGUUUUGAUCCUAGAAAUUCUAAGCAACUCAAGGACCCACAGAGAGAGUUGGGAUUUCGUUUUUUUCAUAUUUAAAUUUUCCUCAAAUAUUGAAAAGAGGAUCAUUUUGGUUUUAAUUAUUUUUCUCAACGAAAAUAUUUCCAAUAUGAAAAUAAAUGAGAGGAGAUAAUAUGACUUCUCCAAAAUAAAAGAAAUAUUGGAGGGAAAAUGUUAAAAUCAAAUAAAUAUAUUUAUUUGGAUUUUAUUGCUAUUUCAUUUGAAUUAGAAAAAUAUGCAUUUUUCAAAAUUGCAUUUUUAGGCCAAGAAAAUGUUCAAUUUGUUCUAAAUAUUUUAUUUAGAUGGUGAAAAUUAUUUUUGGCAUUUUUAGAAUUUUUAUUUAUUUAUUUAUGAUUUUUUUCCUUUUCCGCGGAAUUGUUUUUUUAUUUUAAAAAAAAGUUCCUGGGCCGAAGCCCAGCCGGCCCAGCCGCCAUCACCGCCUCCCUGCGCCAGCACCGCGCCCGAGCCGGACUCCGGCAGGAGUCCGGGACGCCCCCGCCGCCGCGGCUUGCCCCCUGGGCCAAGUCGGACCCCCCUCCCCUUUAAAUGCCGCCUCGCCGCCCCCUCCUCUCCUCAUCCCGCCCCGCCGCCUCAGCCCCGCCACCGAGCCGCCGCCGCCGCCGCGCCAUCCCGCAGCCGCGCCGGAGCCCCGCCNNNNNNNNNNNNNNNNNNNNNNNNNNNNNNNNNNNNNNNNNNNNNNNNNNNNNNNNNNNNNNNNNNNNNNNNNNNNNNNNNNNNNNNNNNNNNNNNNNNNNNNNNNNNNNNNNNNNNNNNNNNNNNNNNNNNNNNNNNNNNNNNNNNNNNNNNNNNNNNNNNNNNNNNNNNNNNNNNNNNNNNNNNNNNNNNNNNNNNNNNNNNNNNNNNNNNNNNNNNNNNNNNNNNNNNNNNNNNNNNNNNNNNNNNNNNNNNNNNNNNNNNNNNNNNNNNNNNNNNNUUCGGUCCGUCCCGGUUUUUUAGAAACCCUAGGUUCGAUUAGAUCGGUUUAGUUUUUUUAGAUCGGUUCGGUUCGGUUUUUUUCGGUUUCGUUACUUAGCGAGCGUCCGCUCGUUAGUUCGUUCUUAACGAACGCGUUCGCCUGUUCGCCUCUGUUAGAGAACAUUCGCGCCGUAGUCUUUUUCUUUUUAUUUUACUUAUUUUAUUUUUGGCCAAGGACCUAUCCACGAUUAUUUUUAUCGCGGAUUAGCCCCUGAUCUUCAGACCCUCACAACUUUUUAACCGUUCGUCCAAAUCCAGUGAAACCAACGCCAAAAUCUUCGUCUCGAGCCCCUCUUUCUGUUUAACUAACUUGAACAUGAUUUUGACAAUUUAAAAUUUGGUUUCAAGCAGAUUUGUAUUUGAAGUUUUUUUGACCGUAGUUUCAGUUCCGUAGCUCCGAUUUGACCGAUUCUUUUUGCAAAUCGAAUCUCUUCAGCUGAACUUUCAGAUUUGGAUCUUCUUAUUUUAGUUUUACCCUUGCAUCUAUGCUUGAGUGCUUAUGUAUGCUAUUGUUUGUUUGCGAUAGAAUUCACGGAGUGCGAAGCGUGCUACUACGAGUCUCUAGGGUUUGCGGAUCGUCAGCAAGGCAAGUAACGCAUUGAUCAUACCCCUUUAUUACCCAGUUUUUAUGCAUUAGUUACAGUCCUCCAACAUUGCAUGAUUAGGAUGUGAUUAACUUGUGGGUAUUGGGAAGUAGUUGAUGAGGUAGAACCUAUUGCCCUUUUAUUAUCAAACCCUUGGGUGUUACGUCUACGUUAUGCUUAUAUUGCCAUGCUAUGCUCGUAGACGUGGAUUGGGUUUGAGAGUAUCCAUGACAGAUGUGAGAUUAUUAAUGGUUAACUUAAGGUGGCUACUUAAAUACACAUCUGGGUGGAUUGGUUGCGGCCACCUGGAGAAUCCAGUGUUGUCCUAGGAUAUCCUGGAGUACCCAUGUGAUUAUCCUAUGGUUCGCCACCCAGGCUCAAAGGGAUCAUAAGAUUAUUCAUGCUAGAAACUUCCGUGUGCAGCCACAAGCUAUUAUGGGCUCUAGCAUAGUGGAGUAAGUUGCGUGACCUCUUUCAGUGGUGGGCUAGCAGAUGUAGGGAAAGUAGGUGUAACUGUCCACCCAGAGUAAAGAGUUAAUGCUUCUGAAAGACUGUGUCUUGGUCAUCCAUUUCUGAAAUAUCAUGUAGUGCGAGAAAUUCAACGGAGGAGAUCGAGUCUUGUGGGGAAAAGUGUGCAAACCUCUGCAGAGUGUACAAACUAAUCAUGGUUAGCCGUGUCCCCGGUUAUGGACAUCUUGAGUAUCUGGUUCUUGGAUUAUCAUGUUGAUCUCAUCACUCUAAUUAAUUUGUUGGAUGAUUAAUACUAUUUAAUUGGGAUUGAGUUGGAGGAACCUUCUCAAUGUUUAACAACUACCAUGAUAGUUAAACAAAAUAUAUUCCUUUGUUGUAGGAAAAAUUGGCUUUUCACAAAACAUUAUAACCAUAGAGCCUCCACCAGCCAUAUAUGCAUGUAGUGAUAGCAUUUAUUCUGUUCAUUGCUCUACUGUGUUAUAUUGCCAGCACAUUCCAUGUGCUGACCCAUUUCGGGCUGCAACAUAUCAUGUUGCAGACUUUUUAGAUGAAGAGUAAGGUGUGCUAGGUCGUUGUCGUGCACUCAGCUAUGCCGUUGGAGUUGAUGGACUCACUUUAUCUUCCAAGCCUUCCGUUGUUAUCUUAUUUAGAUGGCCUUAAGCCAUAUUUAUUGUAAUAAGUUCUCUUUUGAGACAUUCGAUGUAAUAAGUGUGUGAUUGAACUCUGUUAUAAAUCCUUCAAGUACUGUGUGUGUCAGCAUUAUCGAUCCAGGGAUGACACUUAAGCACAGAGAUUUGACCGUCUGAGGUCGGAUCGCUACAAGAUGGUCAGAGCACACGCUGAUUGUAGGACACGACCACUAAGAUGAGCCAUAGGUCACUCUUCUCUACUCAUUUCUGACUCCUCUCCAUUUUCUACUCUAUAGGAUGGCGGAUUCAAGGAACAAGUUUGCACAACCGGAUGAAGACAUACCCUUUGGAUGACACUUGAAGGAAGUCACUAGGUACCUGAACAUCGGAAUACCAAGCUUCACCGGGACCUACACCGCCACUUUGCCAGAAGAGGAGCAUUGGAUGAUUCGAGUUCAAGUUCCAGGAAGGAUAUUCACGCUAGUUACUGAGCCCAUAGAGUUUUCCUUUGAUGCCCCAACCUGGAGUCUAGGUAAGAGCAUGGCAGCCCACAUCGCCAUGGGACGCAUCGGCGAAGUUUAUCACAAAGACCUUAAGGACACCAUCUACCAGAUAUGUGGGCGCCGAGAUGAGCAAUGGGAGAUGAUCAGCACCAGAAGGGAUAGGUCCAUUGCAGCUUUCAUCCAGGAGUUAAACCAGCACAUUCGAUGCCAGGAGAACCAAAUGUGCGCAAGCAUGAUAGAUUUGAAGAAGGUGAUGACCAGGAACAUGGAGCUUGAAGAGGAACUCAAGUAUACACGCGGCGGAUACAAGGAGGAAAUCGCAAUACUAGUGGAGAAGAAUGACGACCUGACGAGGAAGCUAGGAGUAUUCAUGGGAGACCCCGCGCCAGGAGGAGAUGACGAUCAUCCCGAGGACUACAUCAUCAUCGAUGACACCGACCCCGACCCCGACAGUAGUGAUGAUGAUUAUGAAGACGAAGCUGGAGCGGAUAUCAUGGAGUCUUCCACCGAUCAAAAUUUCUAGUAGACCACCAUAUUACCAGUAGUAUUUCCCCAUGUAUAUAGUAGUAGUCCGAGCACUGUGACGAUAGUUAGAUCGAUUGUAAGCCCUUGUUUGAAUUGAUUAGGAGUUAUAUGAAUGUGUUUGUCUCAUGUGCAUAUGGGUAGUGCUUUCUCAUUAGACCUCAUUCUAUUCUAAUCUCUCCCCUCUAAACCAUCAGAUGCCUCUGAGACGUGACCCCGAAUUUGUCUUCCCACCGGAGCUCACUCAGUUGAUCUAGCAGCAGAAUGCCUUGAUGCAACUACUAGUCCAGAACCAAGGCAACAACAACAAUAACCCACCGCCACCACCUCCUGUUGACAACUUAGCCCAUUUUCUGAGGUUGCAGCCGCCGGUGUUUUUCAGUAGCACCGAACCAAUAGUUGCUGAUGACUGGCUACGCAGGAUUGGAAGGGAGUUGACUACCGCAGGUUGCACAGAUGCUGAGAAGGUGCGUUUUGCCGCACAUCAAUUGGAUGGACCCGCAGCCUCAUGGUGGGAGAAUUACACAGCCACUUUCCCUAUAGCCAAUGUCACUUGGGAGCAGUUUCAGCAAGCAUUCCGCACUGCUCAUGUCUCAACUGGAGCAAUGAGCAUGAAGAAGCGUGAGUUUCGCAAUUUACGCCAGGGAAAUCGUACUGUGGGGCAGUACGUGGAUGAGUUCAGUAAGUUAGCUCACUAUGCCCCAGAUGAUGUGGCCACAGAUGCCGCGAAGCAGGAGAAGUUUAUGGAAGGGCUGAAUGAUGAGAUGAGUAUGCGGUUAAUGGUGGCAACAUUUAAUAACUACCAGGAGUUGGUAGACAAGGCUCUUAUGAUUGUAGGGAAGCAACAGCAGAUGGAGAGCCGCAAAAGGAAGUAUGGACAAGGGAAGUACAAUUUAGGUGCUCAGCAGAAGCCUCGUUUUACCCCGAACUCGGGAGGAUAUACUCAUAACCAUGGAGGCCACACCCACAAUGGAGGAAGUUCACAUAACCACAGUGGCCCCAAGAACGGAAACGGGAAUGGAGCAGGCAGCAAUCAGAACCGCUCUAACCCAGCCACGCCCACCAAGAAGGAUCUAAGUCACAUUACUUGUUUCAAGUGCGGGAAGACUGGACACUACGCCAUCGAGUGUUCCGAAGCAAAGAAUGGUAACGGCAAUGGAAGCUCUGGGAAGAAGCCCAACCCUUUUAACAGGGGACAAGUGAACCACGUUAACGUGGAGGAGGUUGAAGAGCAGCCAGAUGCAGUUGUAGGUAAGUUUUUGGUUAAGUCAUUUACUGCAAUCGUUCUUUUUGAUACUGGUGCAUCACAUUCAUACAUUUCAAGGGGGUUUGUGGAUAAGUAUAAGUUGCCCACUAAAGUUCUUAGGACACCUAUGUUAGUAAGCUCGCCAGGAGCAGAGUAUAUGGCAAGCCAAGGAUGUUUUCAGAUGCCAUUGACCAUAGGUAGGCAUGUUUUCCCCUCAUACUUAAUAAUUUUGGAGUCGCAAGGAUUGGAUGUGAUACUAGGAAUGGAUUGGCUAUCGAUGUAUGGAGGAAACAUCGAUUGCGCCAGUAAGUCAAUUCUGCUCACCACCCCAGAGGGAAAAAGGAUUAAGUAUGUAUCUAGGCAUGCGCCUAGGAGGACCCAAGUAAAUUCUCUCACGGGAGUAGUUCAGGAGGAGGUGCCUGUAGUGAAGGAUUAUCCGGAUGUAUUUCCAGAGGAGCUACCAGGCAUGCCGCUGGAUCGAGACAUUGAAUUUUUUAUAGAGCUGUUGCCAGGCACCGGACCGAUAUCGAAGAGACCAUACCGGAUGCCCUCAAAUGAUCUGGAGGAGAUUAAGAAGCAUAUUAAGGAGUUAUUGGAGAAAGGUUACAUUCGACGAAGUUCGUAACCAUGGGGAGCCCCAGUGCUCUUGGUUGAGAAGAAGGAUGGAUCAUUGAGAAUGGUUGUUGAUUAUCGUGCGCUGAAUGAAGUGACGAUCAAGAACAAGUACCCAUUGCCGAUGAUCAAUGAUUUGUUUGACCAGUUGCAAGGAGCUAAAGUAUUUUCCAAGAUCGAUCUGCGAUCAGGAUACCACCAGUUGAAGAUUCGAGAACAGGAUAUACCUAAAACAGCCUUCACCACAAGGUACGGGCUAUAUGAGUAUACGAUUAUGUCAUUUGGAUUGACUAAUGCCCCUGCUUAUUUCAUGAGUAUGAUGAAUAAGGUGUUCAUGGAGUUCUUGGAUAAGUUUGUCGUGGUGUUCAUUGAUGAUAUUUUGGUAUACUCGAAAAAUGAAGAGGAACACAAGGAGCAUUUGCGUUUAGUUCUCAAGAAGCUCAGGGAACAUCAAUUAUAUACCAAGUUUAGCAAAUGCGAGUUUUGGUUGAAGGAAGUAGGAUUUAUUGGACAUGUUAUAUCAGGAGAAGGUAUAGCCGUGGAUCCUACCAAGGUUAAGUCAGUCACUGAUUGGCUAUCUCCCACCUCAGUUGGAGAGAUCCGCAGUUUUCUUGGACUCGCGGGAUAUUAUCGAAGAUUCAUUGAGAAUUUUUCUAAGAUUGCGAAGCCUAUGACGGAGUUGUUGAAGAAGGACAUCAAGUUCAAAUGGACAGAUGAAUGUGAGGCAAGUUUUCAGGAGUUGAAGAAAUGUUUGGUUACAGCCCCGGUGCUGAUUCUGCCAGAUAUACGCAAAGAUUUCCAAGUGUAUUGUGACGCUUCCCGCUUAGGACUUGGAGGUGUACUUAUGCAGGAUGGAAGAGUUGUUUCAUAUGCCUCACGUCAGCUUCGACCGCAUGAGUUAAAUUAUGCCACGCAUGAUUUGGAGUUAGCAGCUGUAGUGCAUGCGCUCAAGACCUGGAGACAUUUUCUUACUGGAAAUCGUUGUGACGUGUACACGGAUCAUAAGAGUUUAAAGUACAUUUUCACACAGAAGGAGCUGAAUCUCAGGCAAAGGAGAUGGUCGGAACUUAUAAAAGAUUAUGAUAUGAAGAUGUACUAUCAUCCAGGCAAGGCCAAUGUCGUAGCAGACGCUUUGAGCCGGAAGAGUUAUGCCAAUGCCCUCGUAAGCGGAGGAUUGCCAAAGGAGUUGGCCGAAGAUCUCAGGGAGCUUCAUUUGGAGAUAGUCCCUAGAGGUUUUGUUGCAACAUUGGAAGUUCAGUCGACUUUAUUGGGAAAGAUUCGAGAAGCUCAGAAGGAUGAUAAGGAUAUUGCCGAGUAUGUAGCCGUAUGUGAUGUAUGUCAGAGAGUGAAGGCAGAACAUCAGAAGCCUGCAGGGUUACUGUAGCCUAUGCUGGUACCCGAAUGGAAGUGGGAUAAGCUUGGCAUGGAUUUCAUCACCGGAUUGCCCAGGACCCGAUCGGGAUAUGAUUCUAUCUGGGUAGUAGUGGAUCUUUUGACCAAAGUGGCUCACUUUAUCCCAGUGAAAACCACCUAUGCGAGUGCAAAGUUGGCCAAGAUAUAUAUGACCAGGAUCGUAUGUCUGCAUGGAGUUCUGGAGACCAUCGUAUCGGAUAGAGGAACACAAUUUACUUCAAAGUUUUGGCAUCAGUUGCACCAGACUUUGGGUACCAGGCUGGAGUUCAGUACAGCCUUUCAUCCGCAGACAGAUGGGCAGACCGAGAGAGUCAAUCAGAUUCUAGAGGACAUGUUGAGAGCUUGUGCGCUAGAUUAUGGAUCUAGUUGGGAUGACAAUUUGCCUUACGCAGAGUUCUCAUACAACAACAGUUAUCAAGCCAGUUUGAAGAUGGCACCUUUCGAAGCUUUGUACGGAAGGAGGUGCAGGACACCGUUGAUGUGGGAUGAAGUUGUAGACCGUCAGUUGUUUGGACCAGACUUGAUCAAAGAGUCCGAAGAGAAGGUUAAGUUGAUUCGGGAUAGACUGAAGGUAGCUCAGUCCAGGCAGAAGAGUUAUGCAGAGGAGACAUAGCAUAUCUUCGUGUGUCACCUCUGCGAGGAGAUAAACGUUUUGGAGUUAAGGGAAAGUUAGCCCCGAGAUUUGUAGGACCAUACCGAGUUUUGGAACGUAUGGGAGAAGUGGCCUACAAGUUGGAAUUACCCGAAGGACUGUCCGGAGUUCAUGAUGUGUUUCACGUUUCUCAGUUGAAGAAGUGCCAUGCUGAGAUGGCCGAUAUUCCUCUGAGGGAUACAGUGCCCCUGGAAGCAAUUCAGUUCGAUAGUGAUCUAACCUAUGAGGAGAAACCUGUCAAGAUUCUCGAGUUUGCCAGCCGAGUUACACGCAGCAGGGUUAUCAAGUUUUGCAAAGUUUAGUGGAGCACCAUACCGAGGAUGAAGCCACCUAGGAACAAGAGGAAGAUCUACGGAAAGACCACCCACACCUAUUUUCUAGCCAACCCGAAUCUCGAGGGCGAGAUUCACCUUAAGGGGGGUAGGUUUGUAACAUCCCAAAUUUUCAAUUUGGAAUGUUAUACAUAGGUCAUCAUAUGCAUAUCAUAUUUUAUUUGCAUUUCGGUUUUGAUCCUAGAAAUUCUAAGCAACUCAAGGACCCACAGAGAGAGUUGGGGAUUUCGUUUGUUUUCAUAUUUGAAUUUUCCUCAAAUAUUGAAAUGAGGAUCAUUUUGGUUUUAAUUAUUUUUCUCUCCGAAAAUAUUUCCAAUAUAAAAAUAAAUGAGAGGAGAUAAUAUGACUUCUCCAAAAUAAAAGAAAUAUUGGAGGAAAAUGUUAAAAUCAAAUAAAUAAAUUAUUUGGAUUUUAUUGCUAUUUUAUUUGAAUUAGAAAAAUAUGCAUUUUCCAAAAUUGCAUUUUUAGGCCAAGAAAAUGUCCACUUUGUUCUAAAUAUUUUAUUUAGAUAGUGAAAAUUGUUUUUGGCAUUUUUAGAUUUUUUAUUUAUUUAUUUAGGACUUUUUUUCCUUUUUGGGGGAAUUGUUUUUUUUAGUUCCUGGACCGAACUGGGCCGAAGCCCAGCCGGCCCAGCCGCCGUCACCGCCUCCCCGUGCCAGCACUGCGCUCGAGCCGGACUCCGACAGGAGUNNNNNNNNNNNNNNNNNNNNNNNNNNNNNNNNNNNNNNNNNNNNNNNNNNNNNNNNNNNNNNNNNNNNNNNNNNNNNNNNNNNNNNNNNNNNNNNNNNNNNNNNNNNNNNNNNNNNNNNNNNNNNNNNNNNNNNNNNNNNNNNNNNNNNNNNNNNNNNNNNNNNNNNNNNNNNNNNNNNNNNNNNNNNNNNNNNNNNNNNNNNNNNNNNNNNNNNNNNNNNNNNNNNNNNNNNNNNNNNNNNNNNNNNNNNNNNNNNNNNNNNNNNNNNNNNNNNNNNNNNNNNNNNNNNNNNNNNNNNNNNNNNNNNNNNNNNNNNNNNNNNNNNNNNNNNNNNNNNNNNNNNNNNNNNNNNNNNNNNNNNNNNNNNNNNNNNNNNNNNNNNNNNNNNNNNNNUUGCCGCCGCCGCUGCAAGCCACCGCCGCCGCCCGCGCCAUCUCGCAGCCGCGCAGGAGCCCCGCCGCCUCGCCUCGCCGUCGCGGACUCGCGCCGCCGCCGCCGCCGUUCGGUUCCCGCUCGCCGCCGCCGGGUUUUUUCCGGUCCGUCCCGGUUUCUUUAGAAACCCUAGGUUCGGUUUUUUUAGAUCGGUUCGGUUCGUUUUUUUGGUUUCGUUACUUAGCGAGCGUCCGCUCGUUAGUUCGUUCUUAACGAACGCGUUCGCCCAUUCGUCUCUGUUAGCGAACGUUCGCGCCGUAGUCUUUUUUUAUUUUAUUUAUUUUAUUUUUCGGUCAGGGACCUAUCCGCGAUUAUUUUUAUCACAGAUUAGCCCCUGAUCUUCAGACCCUUGCAACUUUUUAACCGUUCGUCCAAAUCCAGUGAAACCAACGCCAAAAUCUUCAUCUCGAGCCUCUCUUUCUGUUUAACCAACUUGAACAUGAUUUUGACAAUUUAAAAUUUGGUUUCAAGCAGAUUUGUAUUCGAAGUUCUUUUGACCGUAGUUUCAGUUCCGUAGCUCCGAUUUGACCGAUUCUUUUUCCAAAUCGAAUCUCUUCAGUUGAACUUUCAGAUUUGGAUCUUCUUAUUUGAGUUUUACCCUUGCAUCUAUGCUUGAGUGCUUAUGUAUGCUAUUGUUUGUUUGCGAUAGAAUUCCCGGAGUGUGAAGCGUGCCACUACGAGUCUCUAGGGUUUGCGGAUCGUCAGCAAGGCAAGUAACACAUUGAUCAUACCCCUUUAUUACCCGGUUUUAUGCAUUAGUUACAGUCCUCCAACAUUGCAUGAUUAGGAUGUGAUUAACUUGUGGGUAUUGGGAAGUAGUUGAUGAGGUAGAACCUAUUGCCCUUUUAUUAUCAAACCCUUGGGUGUUACAUCUACGUUAUGCUUAUAUUGCCAUGCUAUGCUCGUAGACGUGGAUUGGGUCUGAGAGUAUCCAUGACAGAUGUGAGAUUAUUAAUGGUUAACUUAAGGUGGCUACUUAAAUAUACAUUUGGGUGGAUUGGUUGCGGGCACCUAGAGAAUCCAGUGUUGUCCUAGGAUAUCCCGGAGUACCCAUGUGAUCAUCCUAUGGUUCGCCACCCAGGCUCAAAGGGAUCAUAAGAUUAUUCAUGCUAGAAACUUCCCAGUGCAGCCACAAGCUAUUAUGGGCUCUAGCAUAGUGGAGUAAGUUGCAUGACCUCUUUCAGUGGUGGGCUAGCAGAUGUAGGGGAAAGUAGGUGUAAUUGUCCACCAAGAGUAAAGAGUUAAUGCUUCUGAAAGACUGUGUCUCGGUCAUCCGUUUCUCAAACAUCAUGCAGUGCAAGAAAUUCAACGGAGGAGAUCGAGUCUUGUGGGGAAAAGUGUGCAAACCUCUGCAGAGUGUACAAACUAAUCAUGGUUAGCCGUGUCCCCGGUUAUGGACAUCUUGAGUAUCUGGUUCUUGGAUUAUCAUGUUGAUCUCAUCACUCUAAUUAAUUUGUUGGGUGAUUAAUACUAUUUAAUUGGGAUUGAGUUGGAGGAACCUUCUCAAUGUUUAACAACUACUAUGAUAGUUAAACAAAAUAUAUUCCUUUGUUGUAGGAAAAAAUUGGCUUUUCGCAAAACAUUAUAACCAUAGAGCCUCCACCAGCCAUAUAUGCAUGUAGUGAUAGCAUUUAUUCUGUUCAUUGCUCUACUGUGUUAUAUUGCCAGCAUAUUCCAUGUGCUGACCCGUUUCGGGUUGCAGACUUUUCAGACGAAGAGUAAGGUGCGCUAGGUCGUUGUCGUGCACUCAGUUAUGCCGUUGGAGUUGAUGGACUCACUUUAUCUUCCAAGCCUUCUGUUGUUAUCUUAUUUAGAUGGUCUUAAGCCAUAUUUAUUGUAAUAAGUUCUCUUUUGAGACAUUCGAUGUAAUAAGUGUGUGAUUGAACUCUGUUACAAAUCCUUCAAGUACUGUGUGUGUCGGCAUUACCGAUCCAGGGAUGACACUUAAGCACAGAGAUUUGACCGUCUGAGGUCGGAUCGCUACAUAGAGUAUCCACAACAGCGUGAUGGAGUAGGAUGUCUUCUGGUCACGCUCCAUGUGGUAUCAGUUCAAGUAGGAGGCAAGUGGACCUUGGGCGCGAUGUGGGCGGUGUACAUGGUGCCCACCGCCCCAGGCACAUAGGAGUUGGCCCUGAAGCUAGCCUUGACAAGGGCGGUGGUGUGGAGUCAUGGACUUGGCCAUUGGAGGAACGGUGACAUACGCACACGGCCGCACGCUGUUGGACAGGAAAGGCGGCGCCAAACGUCGUGUCCUCCUUGGCGAUCUGGAGGUGGUCGCAUCGUCGAUAGUUAAGCCGUGUCGCGCAUGUCGGCUAUGGUCUGCUUCAAUACUAGACCUGGUUGAGACCCCCACAUGUGUUUGUGUAUAGAAAUUGCGUGGGGAUUAAAUUUAGGGGAUCUUGUUAUGACUGAUAGUAUAUCGACCAGAGGGGGGUGAAUGGGAGAUUCGAAAAUUCUUGCGAAUGUUUGGAAUCGAGCCCAAACACAUCAGCGGAAAAUAUUUGGCAGCAAAGAAAUUAAACAAGUAUCCCGCUGAAGAACAUAUCUUUCAAGAUAGGAAGAAAUGAUCGCUCGAGCAUAGUAGAGAAUUGGCUUAACUAUCAUGAUGGUAAUGUAGUACACAAUCAGUUGCAAUAGAAUGGAUGAAAACAAGCGGUAAACUGCGAAGCAAAACCUACCAAGGAAGAAUCUAGAAUGCACCAAAAGUAAGCUAAACUGAGCAAGAUAUGAUUAAAUUAUUAUGAGCGAAAGAUAACAGAUCGAGGGGUCAUAUCGACACCGAGCAAGGAAAUAAACUAUUGAAAGUAUUGCAGGAUAGUGAAGUGAACCAGUGGUGCUCGAUGGCGACAGACAGAUUUGGUAGACCAGUUCGCCCUUCUGCCAAAGGACUACGUCUGGUUGGAGGGAAUUGUGAUUGAACACAGGAGCAAACCUCUCUCCGUCCUAUUCUCCUUCAACUUGAAGCUGACCAGACUCUAGUUGAUUUAACUCGUGGUAGAUACUUGUCAGCGAUCUCCAAACCUUUGACAAACUUCUUCGCGAACCACAAUGACUAUUGGUUGAGGAUAAUUACUCUUCGUCACUCAAGCUGACACUUAUCCGUCUAGAAAGUGCGCAACUCUCAAGAGUAAUAGGUACAAGAACUCUAAAUUAGAACUACUGUGAUGCUCAACCACUGUCUAAGUUUUGGCUCUUGGUUUUCUCUCGGUGGAUUUUAAACUCAAAUCUCUCGGCGAGGGGGUGCUCAAUCAAUCUUCUUAGAAAUCUUAAGCGAAGCAGCCAAUGGACAAUGUUGGAGCGGGGUGGAUAUUUAUAGCCGCACCCUCUUCCCUGAUGUGAAAUGACCAAAUUGGACAUGUGGGACAACCAAUGGCUGAACGACACGAGUCCAACGAUCGGAAUUUGAGCACAACCGUAACAUUUCUUCCGAAGUAAGAAAUGCUAACUCCUCGGUCCGAAAGAUAUCUCCUGCAACACCGAAGAACUAGGUCUUCUGCUGACAGGUAAUCAUUCAGAGCAUAAAGAGAUUUCUCUCAGUCUUGCGUAGGUUUGGACUAAGUAUCACAAUGGAUCUAAGCUUCGAGAACUUAUACCCCCUCUUAAUAGUACGGAGGUCCUAUGACUCAAAAUGGAAAGAAGAACAACAGAAUGAAUGCUACGUCCUCACUUUUCCUUCGAUCUUCUCAGUUGUAGUCAAUAUUUCUUCGGAUGAACACUGAACCCAAUUGCUUCACGUCAACAAUAAUUUUGAAGGGGCUAACUUCUUUACAUCAAUCUUCUCACCUACACGGCUUCGAAUGAUAUAACUGAAUCAUCUCUGUAACACAGAUGUUCUUCGGUGAAGUUCCUCGAACUUGACACCAAAGGUAGCAUUCUCUUCGUUUCUGCAUGGACUAUUUUUCUCUGUAUGCACUAGCAAUCAAAUCAGUCCAUGCCUAUUUCUAUCAACAAUCUCCAAAACACAAGAGGGCAAAUAUUGCAUCAACAGGUCUACUAGAUGAAGAAAAGUUCAAUUAAAAGAAUACUCUCUCCGUUCACAAAUAUAAGAUGUUUUGGAUAUUUUAAUAUGGACUAUAUCGCAGUAAAAUGGGAGAACAAACACAUUCAAACGUGUCUACAUACAUCCUAUUCAAAAAAUUAGAACAUCUUAUAGUUUCCCAAAUGAUAAGUGACACAUGUGUGGCACUAAGUAACACUGCCCUAAUGACAACUAAAAUUGUCAUCCAAAAAACGAAACCCCAAAAAACUGAAACUUGUCAUCCAAACAGAAAAUUGUCAUGCUUCACAACUAAAGUUGCCAUACCCGAGUAACUAAAAUAUCAUCAAAAAACGUCAUGGCGGAAUUGCUCGUGUCACACGUGUGACACUUGCUAGAUUCCUAUAGUUUUUAUUAAAGGAUGAAGAUAUGACGGGGUUAAAAAUUGAAGGAUCUACCAGAGAUAAAGGGUGCUGAAUGAGCACUUCACUCAAGGACUAAAAUGAGUAUUCUCUUACAAAUACAAUAACCGUAACUAUAUACUAUGUAUUUCAUUCAACGAAUACCCUGCCCUUGGCCAUACAACCGUCGGACGUAGCGAACCAACCUGUUGUUGGAUGGUUAGAGGGACAGUGAUAUCCCCAACCCAUCAGGGUUCAAGUCCUAGUGCUUACAUUAUUUUUUGAUUUAUUUUAGGAUUUCCGGCGAUGCGUUUUCAGUGAAAGGAGACGUCUCCGUCGACAACGAGACGUUUAUGGCGACUUCGUAAAUCUCGAGAUGACAUGCCAUCUCAAUCUCUCUCGAAGGUGUUUAUAGAGAUAUGGUGUGCGUGUUUUCGUAGGGUGAGUGUCGAACUUAACUAAUGCCCACAUGCAUAUAUCCAGUUCACCAAUGAUUGACACCGUGCAGGAAAGUAAACAGACAUAGACCGUAACUACGAGGGGCUUAACGCGAAAGGCACAAACACAAAUCGUUUAUUUUCGUUUACACGCACACACAAUUGUUGUAGGAUACACGUUGAGUUUUCUGGAGAUUUUAACGUGUCCCUCCCGUCUCCCCCUCAGCUACCAACUCGCCCGUCAUCUUCGUCUCCCUCAUCACGCGAAAUCCAAAUCCAAACGAAAGAAAAUCCCCAAAUCCUAAGUCUUCUCCGAACCUGAUCCUCCCGCGCCGCCCGAUUCGAUCCGGCGCCGGGCCGCCGAUCCCCUGCGGCGGCAUGGAGGGGGCCGAUCGCCUGUACCCCUCGGUCGAGCCGUACGACCUCGAGCCCCCGCAGCUCGACGACGCCGCCGCCGCCGCCGUCGGCACUGGCGAGGCUAGGGUUUGCGACCCGCCGGUGAGGUGGGACGAGGAGCCCAAGGAGGUAAAAAUCGAGCUGCCCCUCUCCGAUUGCGUUCGCCUUCUCUGUAGAUUGGAAUAGCCGGGUUGCGUGAUGGGUUGUAUCUGGGCUGGAUUGCAAUUGCGGAGUCUCGCGCCUGGUUAGCCGUAGCAUUGGCGUGUUAAGGAUUGCCGUGUUGGGUGUUUAUAGGAUCAAGGAGCAGAACGCUUCGUGAAAAGGUACGGAUUUUAGGUUCGUGCUGGCUGCACGUGCACUUCUAUCGGCGCGGGGAGUAGCAGCUGUCACGUGUUGUUGGGGAUGUUGAGGGUCUGAGCGGUUGAAAUUCUUGCCUUUGCACUUGCGUUUUGGGUUGAAGCUUGUUGUGGCUGCGGUCUGAAGGAUUGCCAUUCGGAUUGACACACAAAAUGCAUCUUUUCCAAUCAGGUUUUGUUCUUUUGGACUGUUUUCUACUUAGUUUAGAAUAGGUGAGUGGUGAGCUGUAUGUUAUAUGUGCCGCUCUAUAAGGAAAUGUGGGGAGAUAAAUUUUUUGUCUUCUAUUCUAUGUUUAGAAGCAUGGAUGCAUAUUUUUGGAAAUGCAUGCCUUGCCUAUGAUCAAUAAAUGGGAGUUCCUUACAUAGUAUGAAGUUGACUAUAACUCAUUUUCUUUCCAAUUCAUGCCCAUAAUCGUAUUUGUAUACAAUUGUUACUGUGGACAUAUUUAAAAUAAUGCUGUGAUUUCUUGUUAAAUCAGGGAACCCAUGUAUGCGAGCAAGGGGCGAAAGAUAAUCCUGACAGAGAUGACAUGGAAGACCACCUUAGUGUUGUCAAUAUUUAUGAGAGCGAUGACGAAAUGGCCACCUUCAAGGGAUCAGGAGAAAACAUCCAUUCUGAUUGCCCACUUCGUCAACAAACUGGCAUCUGGGUACCUCCUUCUGUUCCACCGAUGACAAAACAUGAUCAUGAGGAGUGGCAAAAGGGCUUUGUCUCAAAUGCUGGGUACUUCAUAGAAGACGAAUACAAGUGGGAUGUGGAUGAAGACAUCAGGGAGAUGACAAUGUGGGAUGUGUUUGCUGAGAUGGCUGUUGCAGGAAAAGAUAAAUUAUUAUCUGUUGCAUCAUAUGAUUUUGGGAGGCAUAGCAUGUCUCUAGUUUCACACUUCCUUCUUCAAGCGGCUUUGGAGGAUAACUCUCAAACACUUGCAGAGGCCAGUGUUGGUUCUGAACAUGCCCUGCUUGAGACAGAACCGACAAAGUGGUUGCCUGAUAGUGCUGCUCCUUCUUGCAUGCUUUGUGGAGUGCGCUUCCAUCCAGUAAUUUGCUCUCGCCAUCAUUGUCGUUUUUGUGGUGGGAUAUUCUGUGGCGGCUGUUCAAAGGGUAGAAGCUUGAUGCCUCCAAAAUUCGGAACUUCAGAUCCUCAAAGGGUCUGUGAUGUUUGUGGAGUACGUCUUGAGUGUAUUCAGCCUUACUUGAUGAACCAGAUAAGUCGUGCUUGUCAACUUCCGACUAAAGAUUUGACAGACCUGAGCACCUUGAGGUCAUGGUUAAACCUCCCAUGGGCACCAACGAUGGAGUAUGAGAUAUACAAGGCUGCAAAUUCCAUACAUGGGUAUUGUAAGGUAUGCCUAUUCUAUAAUUUAGUACCUGUUUAUGUUCACUAUAAUUUGGUCCAGCUAGUUAUUUGGGAUCAACUAGAACACUACUCACCAAGCUUUCCAUGAUUAAAUGCAUUUUUUAGGUUGGAAAGCUGAAUCCAGAGAAGUCCAUUCCUGAUUCAAUUCUUAGACAAGCAAAGGGACUUGCUAUAAUUACUGUGGUAAAGGUUGGAAUGAUGGUCACGUACAAAAUUGGUACUGGGCUGGUUAUUGCUCGCAGAGCUGAUGGUUCUUGGUCUCCUCCUUCGGCCAUAUCUACUUGUGGUGUUGGAUAUGGAGCUCAGGUCAGUGGCCUCUCAAGUGUUCUAUUUCCAACAAAGAAGCUUGUGUAUUAUUAUAAAGUCCUGAUAGCAUAUGGACUAUUUCCCGGCAUUCUGCAUUUCAGGCUGGCGCUGAGUUAGCUGACUUCAUCAUUGUUCUGAGGAACACUGAUGCAAUUAAAACAUUCAGUGGAAAUGCACAUCUGUCACUUGGGGCUGGUUUCGGUGCUGCUGCUGGUCAUCUUGGACGGGUGGCAGAGGCUGAUUUCCGUGCCGGUGAUGGUGGUUAUGCUGCCUGUUACACAUACAGUUGUAGCAAAGGUAUGGCUGAAAUCAUCAGUAGCUGAGCAGGACUUGACUUCGUUCUAUUAAUUUUAUCUGUUCAAAUUUCUCCUGGGCUAUAUUUUUCCAAUUUGCUGAUUCUGUUUAAAAACCAGGGCGGCAAAAAGAUGGAAACAAUUUCUCUUGAGUUUCACUUAGUUCGUAGAGUAGAUGCGACUUUGCCAGGUCCCUUUAUUUUUAGUUUUGAAUGAUGAAUACUAAUCUGUGUGUGUUUUACAUUAUUAACCAUUAUCUCCUUAUUUCACAUUAAACUUGGCAUUGUUGAUUCUGCCAAAUUGGUAACUUUUACAAAUAGCUUUUAUAACUCGGGAACUAUUAGUCACCCAGCAAUAUAUAAUCAGAUAUUAUUGAGUUUUAUUGUGAUUGUCUGUAAAAGUAGUUUGAUGUUUAAACAUAUAUCCAACAUUCCUGAAGCCUCUGGCUUCUUAUGAUAAUUUAUGAUCUAGACCAAGAAUUGUAUUCCUGAGAAAAUGGUCCAUAGACCUUUAGGCUUUAGCCAUGUUACGUUAUGCGGUGGCCACAUACCUGGUUAUUGGUAUCUCCUAUGGCCAAAUAUACACUAGUGUAUUCAAAUUUGUACUUCUGUCCUCUGGGCAGUUGAACAAAAUGAAAUCGUGAUGGUCAAGUUUUGCAACUGCUGGUUUCCACAUUUCUAGCAGCACAUUCAGACAACUUGUUAAAUUAACAUGUGGUAUAGAAGUAUCUGAGUAACAAAUAGUUACAUAUAAGUUGGACUGCAUUUGGGGUGGCACGAACGGAUAGGAUGACAGCAUGUAUGGAUGGUUUUAACUACACACAGAUAGUGGUACAAUCUUCUUAAACACGGAGUACUUUAAAUCUGUAGCAACGCACCAACAUGUGCUAUAACUCGCAAAAUGUAUUUGUGUAUCUUUGUGGCUGAAAACCGUGACAUAGCAUGCAGUUUAUGUUGCUCAAUUCUGACGUCUUGAACUGAAAAAAGUGCAGUUGUACUUUGUACCGUUUUAUCAGUAUUAGCUGUGUAAUUAUUUGCUUCUGUAAACAGUUAUUAGUAUAAUUAUUGGGUAUCAUUUCACAAUGAUAUGUUCAAUAUUGUACUACCUCAUGAUUUUUUUUAGCUAGUUUAGCCUACAAAAACAUCUUAUAUUUCGAUACGAAGGUAAUUGCAUAUAUGACCUUUUAUGAUUUCAGUUAUUACAAAAGCUGGGUGCAUACUGAUGUCCAACUAAAUGUAGUUCUUUUAUAAUGUUUGUUUGGAAUGUUACAUUUGUACCAUUGGUGACAAUGAUGAGUACAUCUGGUAAUCUCUACUGGAUCGGUCAUACACAGUUUCUGUUUCGCUCACUUCUGAUGCUUACAUCUUUUUCUUUCUCUGGCAGGCGCCUUUGUGGGAUGCGCACUCAAUGGAAGUGUAGUAUCAACCCGAAACAACGAAAAUGCCCGAUUCUAUGGCGGUCCAGUCAAGGCAUCAGAAAUCCUUCUUGGUUCACUGCCCAAGCCACCUGCGGCCGCCACUCUCUAUAAAGCUCUAUCCACACUAUUUGAUAAGAUCGGAAAGUAAUCUUCGUCUUUUCAUGUGGUGACACACAUUGUGUCCCUGUUGGUCGUCACCUUUCGAGCUUCAGUGUCUCUCUAGGUAAUUUGCUUGUUUGCUAAUUCCUGGGUGUCAGUCAAGCAACUGUACAGUUUGCCAUUCGUUGGUACGUCAAACAGGUCAUCUAUCCAGUGCCAGAAACUACUCUGUAAAUGUUGUACAUAUGAUCACAAUUGCGCGAGAAAUGAAAAGGGAAAGAAACUUCUUCAUCAGUCUUGCCCUUGAUUGAAACUUGUCUGGCAUCUUACUGUUGCAAUAUGAGCAACAUACUCGUCUUUGUUUUACCUAGACCACCUAUCGGCAUCUCGGCCUGCCACUGUUAUUUUGGGUAUAUUUUUAAUGAAAUGCAUGAUUGUCAUGUCCUUGAAUCAAUUUCUAUCUAUACAUCACAGGAAGUAUAGCAAAAAGGACCUGUAGGUUCAUGUAAAGUGUUUGAAACCUGUGAUGGUGUAAAUUAUUUGCUUCUGGCGGUGCCGUACAUGAACAUGCACACUGGGAUGUUAAUUUUGCCACUAGCCAGUUUUAUCAUUUUUUUCGAGGGUACGCCAAAAGCGUGCCUUAGCUUUAUAGAAGAGAAAAAAUAUGUACAAGAGGUUACAAUAGCGCUGGUUAAGAGUCACAUCCAACCCUAACCAAGCCUCCAUUUCACUCCUCACGCUACUCUACUACUCGGCUACACAUUGUCCUCCAAACGCUCCUGCCGUGGCCCAAGUCCUCAAGUCGUCGAAGAUCAUAUCCACCGUAUCCCACUCGUUCUUGAUCUGGCCCGAUCCGAACACCCCCCGCGUUCCUCUGUUUCCAUAGUGUCCAGCAGGUAAGCAUUACAAAUGUGUCGAAUCUUUUCCGAGUUUGCUUGUGUAUUCGCUUUCUGGCUUCUGACCACCAUUGCACCAACCUAGAAUCAUUUGUUGGGCAAAGCUCCAUCCUCAAUCCCAUCCUAGCAAUGCAACUAGACCACACUUGCCGCGAGAACACACACUGCUACAAAAAUAUGGUCGACCGUGUCUUCCUCCUGGUCACAUAGGCAACAUUUUGACGUUUGGUCUUGCAACCCAUGUCUAGUCCUUCUAUCCGCCGUCCAUAAUCGAUAUUGCACUGCCAGCCACAUGAAAAUCUUACACGCAAGAGGUGCCCAACAUUUUCAGAUGGCUCCGAAAGAGUGGAAACGAACUCUUCCCUCACAAAGCAUCUUAUAAGCUGAAGAUGCAGAGUAGACUCCGGACACAUUCCACGCCCAGAUGGGGCUGUCCUCAGUCUGACCGUCAAGUUGCACCUCCGAAAUGAUCUGCCAAAGUCCGAUGAACUGGGCUAGCCCCUCCGUGCAUAAGUUACCCACCACAUCAUUCAUCCAUGCGUGCAUGCACAUAGCAUCGCGCACCAACCUCUUAUUGGCCACUUGGGUACGGACAGUCGCCGCGACCAGAGGGGCAAUAUCCGUGAUGGUUGCACCAUGGAGCCACCGAUCUUUCCAAAACAGUAUUUUUCUCUCCCGCUCCCACCUUCCAUUUGACCAGGCUCCCGAAAGUUUGAUUUACCUUUUUGUCCGCGGUCAAGUUGAAACCCUGCCAAGGCCUGGUAGCUUCCGUACGUCGGAGCCAUUCCCAUCUUAAUCUUAGAGCAAUGCUAUGCUUAAAGAGAUCAAUGACGCCCAAGCCAGUUUUAUCAUGAUGGCAAUAGAUGGUAGCAUGUACUGCGUGAGACCUUAUUGUGGGGCUUGCGGCUGCGGCCAGCUUUUUUCAGUUGGCUGCCGCUGACCCAUCAUGACGGCAGGCCUGCAUGGAGAUUGUGCCAUGGAGGUGCCGGUGUGCUACUCGGAUUCUGAUCUGACAUGCUUGGAUCAAGCUGGUCGCAUAAUCAUCACAAACCCUGCUCACACUCGACGAAAGUUGAGGCCGUCAUACCUGUAGCUAAUUAAUACAGUAUGUUCAUUUGAUCUAAAAAGAAGGACAAACUGUCAGUCAAAGGUUGCUGUUUUAGAUCUGAUAAUGAGCUCUUCCAGCCAGACGGCCGAUCCGGUGCUGCGUUUUCGUCGGGCUAGCAUUCGACCAACCGUUGAGAGUGAUGAAUCCAACCCAACGAUGUCUAUCUAGUUGGACUAAUAUAAUCCGACGAACCCACGUACACCAAUCUAUCCGAGAAUAAUCUCGGACGGGUAAACCGUUGCGCAAACAAUACUACAGUGCAAUGCAAAGGCCUUUCAGCUGGCCUGUCUACUGCACGUUCACCGCAUGGCCUACUGCUGGUGUUGUUCGAUCUGAAGCACUAAUUUUUUGAGACAAGAGUCAUGAUUAGCUGGGGCCUGGGGUAUGGGGUCAGGGGUCCAGGCAGGCCAGGGAGUCGCAGGACUGGAGGACGGGCGGGCUAUGAUUGGUGGCAGCUGAGACCGGCGGCGAGGCUGCACGGCAGCGUUGCCGGCCGCCAUGGCGGCGGCAGCCGAAAGAGAUCAUGGCAGGGAAAGAAAGACACUAGUACUCAACUGUACGGUAGUUUUCUUGUUUAAACACCUCCAAGAUCCAAGCAAAACCUCUGCCUGGAAACAUAAUGUUGUGGGGAAAUAUACCCAAGACAAAACCUGGCAGGCUGUGGUGAUCAGUAGGGAAACUACCACAAAAGUGACAAGGUUUCAGCCACUGAGCUACCAAUGGGACUCGCCUUCCCUGGAAAAGGAGAUCCCAGUAAUCAGCACACUGGUAAAGCCAUUGCACCAAAGGGUUAACUGUUGAGUUUCGUCCAACAAGAAGGUGAAAAAAAAUUGAAUUUCUAACAACUCUAACCAGCAAAGACACAAAGAAUCAAUGAAUGAACGGUCCACCACAUACAACGCACACCCUUAUGACAGAGUGCAGCGACAAGUCAUAUCAAGGACAACUGAAGCAUGUUUGCAUUGCAAGAGCACAUGAUAGAUGGCCACAGGACUUGCAUCUACUGCCUUUCCUUACUGAUGACAAAUGGCCUCCGCCAUUCCAUUCCUUCGACAUGUCCAAGGUGUGUCCUGCCAGCGUUCCUUGCCGUUUUUCCAUCUUUCCAUAUUUUUUUUUGAAGUAAGAAGAAAAGAAAGAAAUAAGCUAACAAGUUUCAUAAUGUAGCUAAAAUAUAAGUCCAGACCAGGCCCCUGAAAGAGGAUGGACAUCAUCUGCAGAGGAUCGUCGAAACAAUCCCUCAACUCCCUUCUCUCUUUCGACAAACACCGAGCUUGUAGAACAUCACGCCCAAAUUUAAGUGUGAAGGAUAAACCCAGGCGAAGAAGAGACACACACUUGUGGCAGCAGCAGCAUCAUCAG
Molecule: long non-coding RNA, 35561 nt
Filed under: Triticum aestivum (bread wheat)
Lineage: Eukaryota; Viridiplantae; Streptophyta; Magnoliopsida; Poales; Poaceae
Description: long non-coding RNA (TAES_LNC018202)
Source: RNAcentral